CUGGAUCAGAAUGUAAAGUUCUGGCUUCCCUGGGAAUUGUUCUAGCUCUGUCGUUCUCUGUCUCUCUCAUUGCUCUGUCGUUCUUGGACUGCGUUAUCUGCUUCUUGUGAAUAUUUGCAAUUCCUUCCCACAGUUCUCCCAGUGUGCAGUUGAGUCUGUGGCUUGGUUCUGAUAGAAUGAGCACAGGAGCAGAGCUUUGAUAACUGAGGCCCAAGGACCGUUGCAUUUCCUUCUCCUUCCUGUGUGAUGUGGAAGUUGGGGGAACUUCAUUUCUGGCUAACCUCAACUUAGAUUGUGUUUUAAAGAACUUGAAGGGAAGGAAGGUGACUCAGCAUAGAAAGGAGCUUGCCACUAAACCCGACAAUUUGAUUCUGACCCCUCAAACCCACAUGAUAGAAGAAGAGACACAGUUCCCUCAUGGUGCCGUCCGAUCUUCACUUGCACACAAUGACAUGUGUGCACAUGUAUAUGGAAUUAAUCUUUUAGUGUAAAUAUAUUUAAAGAAACAUGUGCUUUUAUUUAACAUUCAGCAUGUUUUAAUAUUUCUGAUGUCCCAGUUAAGCUUAAUUUUCUUUACUUUUAUCUUCUAUACUUACAAAUUCAUGUUGCUAUAUUCUUACCAUUGAUACUAUAAUUAAAAUAAUUUAUAUGUCAUAAUUAGAGCAUUGCUUAAUUUUGAAUGUAUAAGGACGGGACAGAUUUGAAUUCCAGUCUUCCUUUCCAAAUUAUAGAUGAACCAUAAACACAGAGCUUGUUCGAAAUAGAGGAGCUUAGGAAUCAUUCUAGACACAUUGAGUUAAGACCCAUGGUUUUGCUCAGGUCACUCAUUUGUACACCAAGGAUUCACAAGAUCUGGAUUUGGUCCUCAUAAGGUUUUUUACUUUUUAAGUUUUAAAAUAUAUACAAUUUCAAACCUUUGUAAUUGAAAAGUACUAUACAAGCUCCUCUGAGAUGUCAUUCUCUCAAGAAAGAGAGUAAGGAGGAGCACAUGGGAUGGUUUGGAGGGAAGAAAGAAUAAGUUCAUGAUGUAACUACAUUGUAAUGUCAAAAAAUAAAAGAGCAAAUAAACAAAUAAAUAAAAAAUGA
Molecule: long non-coding RNA, 1086 nt
Filed under: Mus spicilegus (steppe mouse)
Lineage: Eukaryota; Metazoa; Chordata; Mammalia; Rodentia; Muridae
Description: lncRNA (ENSMSIG00000000687.1)
Source: RNAcentral